This 253-nucleotide ribosomal RNA is filed under the name uncultured bacterium. Its description in RNAcentral is "partial 16S ribosomal RNA". It matches the Rfam family "Bacterial small subunit ribosomal RNA", at positions 524 to 776 of the family's 1533-position model. The record is from RNAcentral.
UACGUAGGGUGCAGGCGUUAAUCGGAAUUACUGGGCGUAAAGCGUGCGCAGGCGAUUUGCUAAGACAGGUGUGAAAUCCCCGGGCUUAACCUGGGAACUGCGCUUGUUACUGGCAGGCUUGAGUGUGGCAGAGGGGGGUGGAAUUCCACGUGUAGCAGUGAAAUGCGUAGAGAUGUGGAGGAACACCGAUGGCGAAGGCAGGUCUCUGGGCUGACACUGACGCCCAUGCACGAAAGCGUGGGGAGCAAACAGG